AUUUGUAGAAUAUGCAAGAAUACUCCAUCCAGUUAUUUUCUUCGAAGACGCAAAUGAACAAGAAUCAAAAUAUAAUUCCAUUGGACAUGGAACAACUUCAAGAUUUUUAAGCUUCAAAUACUCUUGAGAAUCGUCUUGCAACAUUACAGG
Molecule: non-coding RNA, 150 nt
Organism: Caenorhabditis elegans
Lineage: Eukaryota; Metazoa; Nematoda; Chromadorea; Rhabditida; Rhabditidae
Source: Ensembl